This 465-nucleotide ribosomal RNA is filed under the name uncultured bacterium. RNAcentral's name for it is "partial 16S ribosomal RNA". It matches the Rfam family "Bacterial small subunit ribosomal RNA", at positions 28 to 507 of the family's 1533-position model. The record is from RNAcentral.
GACGAACGCUGGCGGCGUGCUUAACACAUGCAAGUCGAACGGAAAGGCCCCUUUGUGGGUGCUUGAGUGACGAGCGGGUGGGUAACACGUGCGUGACCUGCCCUUGCCUUCGGGAUGACUACAUGAAAGUGAGGCUAAUAACGGCUAGGAAUGCUUGCUGCAUGGAGGGUGUUGGUAAGCUUCGGCGGUUUUGGAUGGACUCGCGGCUUAUCAGCUUGUUGGUGGGGUUGUGGGUUACCAAGGGUUUGACGGGUAGCCGGCCUGCGGGGGCGGCCGGCCACAUUGGGACUGAGAUUCGGCCCAGAACCCUACGGGAGGCAGCAGGGGGGAAUUUUGCACAAUGGGCGGAAGCCUGAUGCAGGAACGCCGCGGGCGGGAAUACCGGCUUCGGGGUGGAAACCGCCUUCAGCAGGGGCCAAGGUGGUGGUGACGGUACCGGCAGAAGAAGCACCGGCUAACUACGUG